Falco peregrinus (peregrine falcon) is the source of this 7377-nucleotide long non-coding RNA. RefSeq lists it as uncharacterized. The record is from RefSeq and is a predicted model, not a curated record. The transcript is spliced from 4 exons. Lineage: Eukaryota; Metazoa; Chordata; Aves; Falconiformes; Falconidae.
CGUCAUGUCAUAACUGAGAACCUCAUAAGGAUGUGUGUGAUCCGAAACCCCAGUUUUACAGAGCUGGAAGUGGUGAAUGACUAAGCAAAAUGUUUCCUGACCUGGCUCUCCAGAGGCACCAUCACCUCUCGGUCAGAGAAGACAGUCUCUUUAGCUCUGUUUCAUACCACUCUGCUCUCUUCCAGGUCUUUCCAGCAGUGUUGGCUUUGUUAUGCCAGACCCCGGGGAAUACCCCACCUGAGCUUUAUACCAUGUAUAGAACAGCUGCUCGGGAUGGUUCGUGGACACCAGUAGCGUCUGAAUUUCUAUAAACCCUCAGCUGAGGAGCAGCUCCCCAGAGAAGCAACCACAUGGCCGGUGUCGCAGUUGCUCUUCUGCUGCCAGCACUGCGCAGCUGAAGGGGUCCGGUGGGCAUCGGGACACCUGAUGCAAACAGUGCGCAGACCCAGGAGGACUCGGUGUUGCAUAAACUGUGAGCAUCGCACAUCCUUCUCCGGUCAGGGAAUAGUACGACUUAGCAACCUGCCCCUAUGGAGCCCCCCGGUCCUCCAGCUGCCUGCGUGGGUGACUCGAGAUGCCGCUGCCCUCUGGGUGAAGCGGAGCAAUAAGAUGACUCCAGAAGAGGUAGAUGUUGCAUUGAAUUUGUAGUGGUGGCAGCCACUGGUAACUGCUGGGUUGGUGACCUUGAACAAGUCACCUUCACCCAUGCCUCUGCCAUUGCCAGAAACACACACCUUUGGAAGAGCUGUCCUGCUGACGGUGAACUCUUUAAGGAGCAGAGGUGAAUUUUCUUAGGUUUCUUUUUUUGUACUUUUGUGCUUUUUGUGUGUGGUGGGGCACCGACAGCAUUCUUGUGCACCAGCCUGUGCUGGCUCCAGGGAGUGGUGGGACCAGAGGAAGCAGGGCAGGGAGGGCAGCCGGUGGCCCCUUGGCCAUACCCUGAGCCCUGCUCCCUGCUGAAGCCUGUUUUGCCUUGCUGGAUGCUUCCAGCAGAGACCCAGCCCUGCGGGAACGCUGAGCUCUGCCUGCAAAUGGCAGCCAGAGAUGGCUGGACGCUGCUCGCCCUGCGUGGGCUGCGCUUGGUGCUGCAAGACGUGAAUCUGGAGGGGACCGUAGGGCUCUGCACCCUGCAGCCCCACUGUGUUUCCCAAGAGGUGGCUCUGUCUCUAGCUACCCUCCCCUUGCUCCUCCAUCUCAGGUUCAGGGUGCAGAGGUCCCUGCUGGCCCUUCCCAUCACGAUUUAUCAGAAAACCAAAUUGGCCUUGCAGUGGAAGCAAUUCGAGACAUGGCGGGAUGCGUCGGGAGCGGGGUUUGGCACCUGGGGGAGCGGGGUCCAUCUGCAGCUCCAGCCAGCACCGCUGCUCCCCGGAGCUGGGCACAUGGCCGGGGCGGUGGGCACAUGGCCGGGGCGGUGGGCAGGCGGCAGCGAGGAGCAAGAGAGCGGCAAAAAACACCCAGGGAAAUUAUUUACGUGACUUUGAUUUCUGCGCAAAUCUUGCCCUAAAAAGGGCACAGCUGUCACUCCAUUUGUCAACAUCAGCAAGUAAUUAUGUAAAGAAAAACAUCAUUGUACUUUUGACUUUGAUGCUUGUCGUAUCGGCCAGAGACCGAUAGAUGGACCACUUGGAUUAUGCGAGGUAAUCGCAUGGUGUGAAUGCGCAAAGCUGGAAGGGCUCCUCUGGCUUCAGCUAAGCUUGUUAUUUUUUUCCCCUAAUAAUAGAGUGAGAACUGAGAAAAAGAGAGAAAAUUAGGAGUAGAAAAAGCAGCUCCUCUUUGUUGAAUAGACAGUUUAAUUUAUUCCUGAGCACAAUGUACCUGAAGAGUGAUAAGAAACAACUUUGAUAUCAUGCUAAAUAAAUAAAAAAUAGGUUACAUAACCUAAUUUUCUCUGGGUCUUACAGCAGUUUCUAUUUUAUCAGCUUGCAUUUAACCGGAGCAAAAUUAAUAAGGUGAGAAAAGUAAGGCUGCCUCGAAUACCAUGAGAUUUCUUAAAAAGAAAGCAUCUGUAAGCUAUUUAUUUUGCAUGCAGGUCGCCGUGUGGCAAUUCAGGGGGGCUGACCUCCAAGAGAAGCUGAUGCUGGGUGGGUGAAACUGAAGGCUGGGUCCCUGGGCUGGACCUCACCGGUGGGUGACACUGAAGGCUGGGUGCCCAGGUCCCUGGGCUGGACCUUGCUGGUGGGUGGCACCGAAGGCUGAGUCCCCAGGUCCUGGGGCUGGACCUCACUGGUGGGUGACACCGAAGGCUGGGUCCCCAGGUUGAACCUCACCAGCAGAGCGCAUGGCCCCACAUGUGGGACCUCGCAGCAGUGCUGGGGCCAGUGCAGCUGCUGGGGCUGGGCACAUGGUCACCCACGGCUUGGAGGUGAGGGAACCAGGGGAGGAGACAUGUCCACCUGUGCUCAGUGCUCCCAAACCUUGCAACCUCUCCCAAGAUUUCAGCGGCAGCUGAUUAAAACGAUUUAGUCUGUGUGAGAGCACAAGAAGCCCUUUAGUUAAUAAUUUCCUCCUAUUCCCCCCUCUCCUUCCCCAAGAACUAAGGAGAAGAGAGAAAAAGCUGAAAUAAAUGUUUGUUUUUAUAUAUUUCCAGAAUUUGGUUCUGCUGGCUUUAGAGAUGAACCAAUACUACAGCUGCAGCAAGUGGAGAUGGUGGCAGCCCCGUGCCUCCCUUCUCCGUAGUGACCAACCUUCACGUGCAGGAACACGGAGCCCACCCGUCUGUCACCAGCUGAAGGUGCCUUCAGGCACGGCUUUAGCCUUUUUGGCUUGGGGUACGUUUUAACUCAGUCUGGAAGGAACAGAGGGUAUGAGGGUUUAGAUGUAAAAUUCCCCAUUAAGCAGCAGUGGUGGCAGGUGAUUUUGUUGCGUUUUGGUUUCCUGUGGCGUUGCAAAGGAGAGGGGCAGCUGGGGAGGCUCCUUUGCAGCAGUUUUUCUUUUGACAAGUCCAGCUCCCAGUCACCCAGAAGGGUGUCACCGCCUGGCUGGGGAGGGCGAGGGGGAAUUGCAUCAGUGCAGAAACAGCCUGCAGAGCUGCAGCAGGUCGUACUGCAGCAAUGUCUUUUGGACUAGAUGUUUCCGAGGGGCUUAAACUGCUCCAGUGAAGGGGCUGUUGAGCUGCUGUGCAUGCACGCGCACACAGAGCCUAUCUGGCUUUUCUGCCCUUGGGCUGAGCUUAAAGGCGCCUGGUAAUGGGUAGACCUGAUGCCAGGAGUGCCCGGGAGCUGGCUCACCCCCUUGCCAGCCGUGAUGCCUGUCUGCCAGCCGCCGGUCCCGGGGCGUGACUAACUCGCAACGGUCUGACGUGGAACUAAGCCUCUUACUUUAUGUCUUUUGUAACCCUGCUGCUGGAAGUAAACUUGUCUAUGCAAACUGUACAUCAGCAAACAGAGACAAAUGUGGCCUGGUUCCUCCGGCGUUAGGCAUUUACAUUGGCAUUUUCUGAGCUUUGGAAGAGAAAAAUGGGAAUGGGAAAAUAAAUUAGGGGUUACGUCACUUGGAUGUAUCUUUUUUACAAAAGGAAGAAACUCUGUGGUUGUGCAGCAUGUUGAAGGACGCUAGCCUGAAAGAGGCAAUGGGUGCUUUUGGCUGGCUCCCUGCAGUGUUUACUGCUUUCAUGCCGCUCACAUAAUGAUCCAGCUUGCAUGUGUGUGGCUCAGCAAGUCAUUAUAUAGUUCCCUCAGUGGCCCACAGCGUGCCAGUCUCACUGCCUGUCCCACAGUGCCAAGUGACAGACAGACAGGGCUUAUGGGCAGACAUUUACUGCGCACUCCUGCCAUCAGGCCAAGGGCACCUCUAGCCCGAGUCGUGCCUGAGAGGUGAGCUGGAGCAAGCUGGGGGUUUGCUUUGUGUAAUACGACCAUUGCCACCGAUUUACCUCUGCUGGACCGACAGGCCUUCUACCAUAAACAAGAUCGUGCAGGAGCAUAGCAGGCUGCAGAUACGCUUUGCACUAGAUUGUGGUAUAGAAAUAUAUUGCAGAUGGUAUUUACUUAAAAGACAAGUAAAUUUUAAUUUUUGUGUCUGCUUGGAAUAAACCUAAUUAAAAGCUAAGCAGACUGUUUUCCUCUUCACUUAAAAUAUUACAAUUAGUGGCAACAUCUGUGUUGCACAAUUUAUUAUUUGUAUGUGCAAUGUUGUAAAAUACACUUCCCAACAUUAUAAACUGGCAUACAAAACCCCUGCAACUAACUAAUUAAACAACAUUAAAAUGCUAAUCUAAUUUGGAGUAAGAGAAUUCAAUAUAAUUUUUUGUCUUUAAAGUGUUUUCUUGUUCUAUUACAGAACCCCAGGGAAACUGUGCUGUGGUGUGAGCUGGGGGGGCAGUCCUUUUGCUAUAGAAUCCAUAUGUGAGUUCUAUAAAAUACAGGCUGACAAAUCAGUUGAACUCAACGUUGGGAUGUUUGAAUUGGAGAUGUGUCCUGUGGGUGGUCCUCAAAUCGACAAGAUAUGCGUGAAACAAGACUUCAGGGGAUCACAGUCACUGUCCUGAGUGGCACAGGGAACAGACUUCAACUCUACACCUUACGGUACAUGGUGAGGACAGUGGCUAAAGAAGUAAUUCUUCUCUGGCAUAAAAUACUGUUUUCCCACAGCCUUUUAUCCCCAGAAGUUACCUAACGCAGAAGGCAGUGGGAGUCCUCGCUGCAAGGACAGAAAGGAUUGCUCACAGCAUACAGCUCUAUUAAUCCUUCUUUUGAGCUGGUGUUGCACUCAGUCCCUCUUCCCUCAUCUCCCACCUCAGCCAAUGCCUUAAAUUGUUCCCCCCACUUCCAUCCAUCCUGGUGUUAAACCCCAGUGGUGGUUGCACCCUCCUGGGAGGUGUGGUGCUUCCAGAAGACCUUUUAGUCCCAUGCCUUAAGGUGCAUGGGCAGGAAGGUGGAGAGACACGGGAGCCAGAGUAGCUGCUCAUCCUCUGGUGUCUGGUAGGAGCUUGACCCAGCCGUGGUGUGACUCACACCCUCAGGAGACUGAUUAAGUAGAGGAAUACCUCUGCAUGGGUUAUAAAUAGCCUAAGGAGUGUAGCCCAUCUCAAGUCAAAGUCAAAGGAUGAUCUCAAUUGUUGUCACUAGCAGCUUAAAUCAGCCUGUGUGUCUUUGCCCUGAGGUGGAUCAAACAGGAGCAGGUGUAAGAGCAGGAAUAGCUGCGAGGAGAAACUCCUUCCCUGGGAAAUUUCACCGGCAACUGUCCUCUGCCAGUGUGUUACCUGAUUGCAGCGCCAGCCUGGCAUCGGUAACUCCGGAUGGAAACACAAUGUCAGCGUGGUAGUAGACACACUAACCCCGCAGACCCUGCCACCCUUAGCACACGGGAGCGCCUGCCUGCUGCGAGCCCUGCGCACCUGCAGCUCUGUGCUGGAUGCGGCACCUCGGCCCUGCUCAUCGCUCAGCUGUGGUAAGAAAGAUUGACAAAGAUAGAAAUGGAAAUGAUACAACACUCAAGGAAUAAUCUGCGUCCUCACUUGUGGAGUGAAUCUGGGAGUAAAAUCUUCUGCCCUGCCAGUCUGAUCCUGCUGGCCCUUCCUGCAGUGGGGAGGAACUGUGGGGCAGCCUGGUGGGCUUACAGAUGUGCACAGAGCCACGCUGCCCCUGGGAGUGAGGGGUCAGGGGCUUUUUUUGUGAUUCCUCAAACUGCUGCUGGAGGCAGCUUGCUCUGAAGAAGUCCUGCUGCAAGCUUGGGAUCACUCUCCCAGCAUUCAGCACAGCCCAUGCUUGCCUCCCGGGGCACAUUGGAGCACCCCGUCCCCACUGACUAUGCUGCAAAACACGGCAUGUUGAUCUCCUGCUAAGGAAUCAGGUCCUCAGCCUGUCCUUUCUUUUUCUUGCUCCUAUUUCUUCUGGUCUGGGGGUCCCUGGGGGUGUGCAGAGCGGGACACAGGUGAGAUGCUCUCAUCCUUGCAUCAGCAGGAUGAGCCCAGUGCCAUAAGCAUCUGAAUGCUGGAGUGGAAAUCACGAAAUCUGAAAUGUAUUUCAGGCUGCUGAAAGAGCACUAGCCGUGCCAAUGAUGUUUAACAAAAUGCCUGUUUGUCCUGGGUCAGUAGGCACCAGAGGCAACCACCCGUUCCUGCCCAUCGGCUCCCCGGCUGAGCAGCCUGGACCUGACUGCCAGCCAGGCUGUUAGGUCAUCCAGCUGCCAUCGGAUUUCUUGGAGGCUGAAGAAACCAGAGUCCUCCCAGAAGCAGAAGAAAGCCUCGCCACGUUAUUUUAAUAAGGUUUGACGUGUGUCCUUCAUGGCCAGACUUUCUGGCUGCUGCUGCUGACAACUUUGUCCAGGAAAUUGGGAGCAUUUUUCUCUUGCACUUAAGUGGGAAGGGAAAAAUGUGUGUGACUGGGACCUGUGUUUAUCAAUGUAUGGAAAAGAAGUUGGUUGGUGCCAAAUAGUCAGUGACUGCUGCCCCAGCCUUUAGAUGUACAAAGAAGGUAUUACACGGGAUCAAGAAAUGAAAUCUAACCAAAAUAAAUCUCUGAGGCUUGCAUGGCUUUUGGCGUGCAGGUAGACAGCCGGCUGCACCCCGGCUAACUUCCCUCUCUCCGUUGCCUAACCAGCACCAUGCCAGGGAAGGGAGCAUGCUGGAGUUGCGUGCCCCUCUAUCCAAUGGGGAUAUGCUUGUUAAAAAAGAAAAAAAAAAGGCAGCAAAGGUAUCACUUGUGCCCACACUGGGUAGAAAUGAUGGGUGCCGUUGAGCCCAGAGGAGCUGUGCCACAGUUGAGCAGCCAUGUACCCAGCCUGCUGAUUCUCAGUUUUAAGUUUCUGGGUUUUAAUCACUCAAACAGAUUCCUCUUUUCCAGGCUCAGAUUUGAUUCAAAGCACUGUUAGGCUUCUCAGCUCUAUUUUGGAUCAGCUUGUUCAGACAAGCCUGCAGGCAGAUCCCAUUAGCACCUGCUCUUUCCUGCCUUGGUGAAGCCCCUUUGGUGACCUGGAGGGUGAGGAACGGCUGGAAGCGUAAACUUGGAGGCAACCGGUGACUGCAGCGGUAGGCACACGUGCAGGGCCCAGCUAAUUCACCCACAGAGGCCGUGUAGAUAAAGAGAAGAUAUCACAAAUAGCCAGACAAUGCAAUGCAGUAUGUACCCACUUGUUGCUUUUUCGAGAAUAUUUGCAGCUUCUAUUGCCUUUACUUUUAGUAAACGCACUGAUGCAUUACAUGUCUGAUAAUUCUUGGGAAAGUUCCCUGUCUAAAUUUUUUUUUCUUCUGUGAAAGCUUUUAAUAAUUCAAAUCCAACCUAGAAAAUUGCCACAAGGAACACUCUGUCUUCUCAGCUGUGCAGAGGAGAGCCUAGACCCUGCCUCUCUGAUGCUGGACUACUCAAGACUCCCCCUUACAAAUUAUUAGGCCUAAUUUAGCUUUUAUUAAUUCUACUUUUUCCUAAUUUUAAUUCCUAG